Molecule: long non-coding RNA, 708 nt
Filed under: Cyanistes caeruleus (blue tit)
Lineage: Eukaryota; Metazoa; Chordata; Aves; Passeriformes; Paridae
Description: lncRNA (ENSCCEG00000013501.1)
Source: RNAcentral
AUGUAUCUGUGCAUUUCAGGUGUACAUGUGUGAAGAACACUGUGCAGAACUUGAGGAGAUUGAAGAUCUAACCAGACUGGAGGAAGUCUGUGAGAGCUCAGUCCUGCUGUGCCUGAAGAAGAGGUUCCACUGCAAUCUCAUUUAUGUAUGGAUAGUGAUGCUUGGCUUGGUUUUCUUCACUGCUUAUUCACUCUGAACAAUGAGCUUUAAGAGAAAAAUGUUUAUAUUAUGCCAUCAAGCUUUAAUAAUGCACCAAGUACCUCACUCAUUACCAGGAACAAUGAUAAAAAGUAUUCUCACACAGCUUUUACUCAGAAAUCAGGUAGCAUGAAUAUUUGGGCUGAAAUCUGAAAGUUCCAGAGUUUCUCUGCAAUUUUGGUAUUUGUUGCCAAUACCUGUGAGCAUACUUGGUUUCCUUUUUAGCUUCAGCUGCUCCUACUGGGACUCUCCUAUUUUAGCAGAGAAGUUCUGAGUUAACAAUUGUGGAUCUUGAGAAGAAACCUCAGAGUUUCUGCAAACAUUUCACAGUGUUGCAGUCCAGAUCUGGUUGUGGAUGGUUAAUUGUUCUCUUUUCCAUUUACUGGCUCAAGUGUUCAAACCUGUACCUGUAAUUUCACGUGGAGCUUGGAGAAUAGAUAGAGCAGGUGACCACAGACCAGUGAAUGCUCACUUAUCCCAAAUUAUUGAUGACAGAGAUUAGAAAGUGAC